Molecule: non-coding RNA, 30 nt
Filed under: Mus musculus (house mouse)
Lineage: Eukaryota; Metazoa; Chordata; Mammalia; Rodentia; Muridae
Source: RNAcentral
UCUGAGUUUGAAGAAGGCUUGCCUCCAGGU